Molecule: ribosomal RNA, 275 nt
Filed under: uncultured Bacteroidota bacterium
Lineage: Bacteria; Pseudomonadati; Bacteroidota
Description: uncultured Bacteroidetes bacterium partial 16S ribosomal RNA
Rfam family: Bacterial small subunit ribosomal RNA
Source: RNAcentral
CAGCGAGGGCGUAGCAAUACGCCUGUCGGCGACCGGCGCACUGGUGAGUAACACGUAUGCGACCUGCCCCCUACAGGGGUAUAACCCGUAGAAAUGCGGACUAAUCCCCCAUAGUCCUGGGUGCUGCAUGGCAUUCAGGGGAAAGGCCAGCCGGUAGGGGAUGGGCAUGCGGCGCAUUAGCUAGUUGGCGGGGCAACGGCCCACCAAGGCGACGAUGCGUAGGGGUUCUGAGAGGAAGGUCCCCCACACUGGUACUGAGACACGGACCAGACUCC